Clostridium sp. MSTE9 is the source of this 80-nucleotide non-coding RNA. The record is from Rfam. NCBI's taxonomy places the organism in Bacteria, Bacillati, Bacillota, Clostridia, Eubacteriales, Clostridiaceae.
AGAUAUGCGAUGAAGCGGGAGGUUGCGGCAGAUUUGCCGGUUUUUCCGUGGAGUAUGUCCGAUUUUAAACCGGGCGACAG